Long non-coding RNA from Bubalus bubalis (water buffalo), 1735 nucleotides. RefSeq lists it as uncharacterized. The record is from RefSeq and is a predicted model, not a curated record. NCBI's taxonomy places the organism in Eukaryota, Metazoa, Chordata, Mammalia, Artiodactyla, Bovidae. The transcript is spliced from 4 exons.
GGAAAUUCCAUGGACAGAGGCGCUUGGUGGGCUACAGUCCAUGGUGUCACAAAAAUUUGGACAGGGCUGAAGCGACUGAGCAUGCAUACAUGCAUAUACAUUAUGACACAUCACUUCUCAAUAUUUAACAUACAUCACUUAAGAAUACAGAUAUUUGUUUUCAGACUCACAAUGUCGUUAUACCUAUUAAGAAAGCCAUCUAAAAUCAACUUAAUGAAGAAGAAAAAAUAAAAUCAACUUAAUGUUUAAAUCCCUCCCCAUCUACAGCUUUUUUAAAAAAAAAUCAAUUACUUUUUUUUAAUGGUUGUUACUUAUCUUAACUUAGAAUAGUUCCUCUCCCUUUUUUUUUUCUCCCAUGACAUUGACCUUCUGAAGAACUUAGGCUAGUGAUUGUAUGAAUGUCCCACAUUCUAUUUCUGUUUCCUCAUGAUGUUCAGUUUUUCCUCUGUCCUGGUAAUCCUCUGCCCUGGCUGCACAUUGGAACCACCUGUCUUGAUUAAUUGGCAGUACAAGGAAGGGGGAUUAAUUGGCCACUCUGUUCUCAUUGGAACUAUUUAAAUCAAAUUUAAAGCCUAGAAAAGAGAAUACCGAUGUCUGUGUUCCACUCUAAACCAAUUAAAUUGGAAUCGCUGGAGUUUAAGCUCAGGUGAUCCUGGUUUCAAAAUUCUCUAGGUGAUUCUGGUAAGUUAUCAGCACUAAGAACCGCUGCUCUAUCCUGUGGAUCCUAUAUAUUGAAGUUAGACUCAGGCUAUACAUUUUUUGUCUGGAAUACUUUGCACAUUGCAAUCACCUUGGAAGCUUUAAAAAGUACUGAUACAUGGGGGUCCACCCCAGAGAUUCUGAUAUAGUUGGUCUGGCGGCAUGGCCUAGGCUUUGGGAGUUUUGAAAUCUGCUCGGAUGAUUUUAAUGCAGCCAGGAAGACCCACUGCUUUAGAUUAUUUUCUUGUUCAAUUUGCAUCCUAUGAGGAGGCACACAAUGUCACACUAUUCCAUUAUUUGUGAUGCCAGUUUCAAUCACUGGAUUAAGGUGGUCACACCAGACCUCUGCAUCACCUCUUCAUCGCAAAUGUACUAGUGCUCCUGUUCCCAGAGAGUAUGGCUGAGUGCAGCCCUAAGCCUGCAGCCCUUGCUGCAGUGCCACUAUGCCGCAUCCAACUCUGGUUACCCUUGGACCUGUGGGGGCCCUGCUCAGUGAUUGGUCGACGCUGCAAUGGGCCCCACCCACAAGCAACCAACUGUCAAAGAGAGACCUUUUAGUGGUCCUGCUCAGUCAUUGGUCAGCACAGCAGUGAGCCCCGCCCACAAGCAACCAGCUGUCAAGGAGGGACUGUUAGUUGAGAGGAUUCAGCCAACCGAAUCAGGCAGUGGAGUGGUGGUCGUCAGGCAGAGAGUGAGGGGGUGGACUAGAAAGAUGAAUUCUGAAGUUGAGAAGAAAAUAAUUUCAGGAGGCACGUGCUCCGAAGGCUUCAAUGCACUUCUAGUCCCGGACGCCUUUAGUGCACAGUCGUCACUGCAUAAUGGAGCUUCCACUUUUUUUUCUCAUGCUAUGCUGAUGCUAUUAUAUUUUUGAGAGCCAGAAAUAUGUCUUAUCUGUAUACUGAUAUCCAUAUAUACAGAUACUAAUAUGUAUAUAAUAUUUUGACCUCUGUCUCUCUCUCUGUGUAUAUAAAAACCCUUGGCACCCUCAUCUUUAAAAAUUCUCAUAUUCAUGAAAGUAGAGUUGUUUUAAACCAGA